RNAcentral lists this ribosomal RNA (752 nucleotides) under uncultured bacterium. Its description in RNAcentral is "bacterial SSU rRNA". It matches the Rfam family "Bacterial small subunit ribosomal RNA", at positions 8 to 796 of the family's 1533-position model. The record is from RNAcentral.
AGAGUUUGAUCCUGGCUCAGAAUCAACGCUGGCGGCGCGCUUAACACAUGCAAGUCGCACGAGAAAGGGGCAACCUGAGUAAAGUGGCGUACGGGUGAGUAACACGUGGAUCAUAUACCUUUUAGUGGGGAAUAACUUUGGGAAACCGAAGCUAAUACCGCAUAAGCCCGAGAGGGGAAAGCAGCAAUGCGCUGAAAGAGUAGUCCGCGGCUGAUUAGCUAGUUGGUGAGGUAAUGGCUCACCAAGGCUUUGAUCGGUAGCCGGCCUGAGAGGGCUCACGGCCACACUGGCACUGAAACACGGGCCAGACUCCUACGGGAGGCAGCAGUGGGGAAUCUUGCACAAUGGGGGAAACCCUGAUGCAGCGACGCCGCGUGAGUGAUGAAGCCCUUCGGGGUGUAAAGCUCUUUCGACGGGAACGAUAAUGACGGUACCCGGAGAAGAAGCUGCGGCUAACUACGUGCCAGCAGCCGCGGUAAUACGUAGGCAGCAAGCGUUGUUCGGAAUUACUGGGCGUAAAGCGAGUGUAGGCGGUUCGAUAAGUUUGGUGUGAAAUCUCCCGGCUCAACUGGGAGGGUGCGCCGAAGACUGUCGAGCUAGAGUGUGGGAGAGGUAGGCGGAAUUCCUGGUGUAGCGGUGAAAUGCGUAGAUAUCAGGAGGAACACCUGCGGUGUAGACGGCUUACUGGACCACGACUGACGCUGCAACUCGAAAGUGUGGGGAGCAAACAGGAUUAGAUACCCUAGUAGUCC